UGAGGGAUAUUGGGCAAUGGACGCAAGUCUGACCCAGCGACGCCGCGUGGAGGAGAAGGGCUUCGGCUCGUAAACUCCUUUUCCCGAGGACGAGAACAGGACGGUACUCGGGGAAUAAGUCUCGGCUAACUACGUGCCAGCAGCCGCGGUAAUACGUAGGAGGCAAGCGUUAUCCGGAAUUACUGGGCGUAAAGGGCGUCUAGGUGGCAGCCCAAGCGGGGUGUGAAAGCUCCUGGCUUAACUGGGAGAGUGCGCUCCGAACUGGGCAGCUAGAGGGCAGGCGACGGAGGUGGAAUACCCGGUGGAGUGGUGAAAUGCGUAGAGAUCGGGUGGAACACCAGUGGCGAAGGCGGCCUUCGAGCCUGUGCCUGACACUGAAGCGCGAGAGCGUGGGGAGCAAACGGG
Molecule: ribosomal RNA, 405 nt
Filed under: uncultured bacterium
Lineage: Bacteria
Description: bacterial SSU rRNA
Rfam family: Bacterial small subunit ribosomal RNA
Source: RNAcentral